GAUAGUUAUCUUGGAUUGAAGCAUUGGCAAAUUCGAAAAUUAUGAUAUUUUUUAAUUUUAUUUGUUUAUUCAUCUUUUCAGUAUCAUUCACUGUAAUGAGCUCCGCCCAGUCCGUUCCACAACCAGACUUCCGACGAUCUGCACUGCGAGCCGUCCACCACCACACAGCACCAACACAAAACUGGCGCUGCCACCAGUUGUCCACGGCUCGCCUCCCGAUCUCUGCCGAAGUCCAAAUUCCUCCCGAUCUCUGCCGAAGUUGUCCACGGCUUGCCUCCCAAAUUUCAACACCCAGCCGCAGCACCGGUCUCUGCCUCACCGUUCACAGCCCCGCUCCAUCCGGUUCAUACACAUCCGUUCACGCCAGAUUUUCAAGGGUUAUUUUGUGGAGAACAAGUGUUGUGUUUGGUUACAGGUUUUGAUUUAACUUUAUUUUGGUGUGCAGAUAUUCCUAUUCUAGUUUAGGAAUAUGAUAUCUUGGUUUAGCUAUUAGACCUAGAUUUGUUUGGUUACAGGAUUUAGUUAAUACUUAUUCUAGUUUUCUGUAAUCUACGACUAGGCUAUUCCUUCAAAUAAAAAAAAAAAAAGUAAGGAGAGGAGUAGGACUGGGCAAAAACCCGCCCAACCCGCAGAUCCAACCCGGCCCGGCCCGUGCGGGUUUAGUGUUUAUUUUCGCGAGAUCGGGUUGGAAAUAUCCAACCUGUGCAGGGUGGGACGGGUUUCGGGUUUACUAAUAUUUUCUAUGCGAGUACCCGCCCUGACCCACACUUAAGGUUCUAAAACACAAAAAAAAAAACCCUAGACUUAAGAGACCGUCAGACCCAUUUGAUUUCGCCGCCCACAACCCAAGGCCGAGAAGGAAAGGAGAUCACGGAAGAUGAUCGCGAGAUUGACGAUGCUAUUAUGCCCAUUCCACCGCCUGAACUAGGGCGGAAGGAAUAGCACAGCCUCUCUCCUGAUCGUGAUAGCACCAGAAAGAGGGAAUCACGAGAGAUUGGGCCAUUCUCGGCUUUUUAUUUUCGACUUCCUCUGUUCCUCUCUCCCAGCAAGCAAGACGAGAUCACCGAAAAAAUGACACAACGGCCGAGCACAUAGAGUCGAGAAAGCGAGAGAGGGAAAGAAAUUCUGACCUCGAUAUGUGGGUACGUGAUGGAGAACGUAGACAUGGUAGUGGCCUGGCAGGAGGAAAAGAAGAAAAUGAAGGAGAAACCGUUUCUCUUCGAUCUAAAUCAGCCUGCGCCGCUUUUCUGAGCCGACGGAGACGAGGUUUCUGGUUGUGUUGGACUGUGGGGCUGUUCAAGCACUUUGGAAAAGCACCAAGCUUUGAAAAAUUGCCCUGAUGUGCAAGAAAUACAAACCAUUUUGCUGGACCACCUACGUGGUGUUGAUAAGGACUUGUCCGUGUCCAAGGAAAAGAGGGCAUGACUCUUUUUCAUUACGUAGCUCAGACGGGAAACGUCAAGUUUUUGAGCAAAUUCUGGUUAGAUUGCCCCAUGUCUAUAAAAGAUGUAACAAUUAGAGGAGACACUGCUCUUCAUAUUGCGUUGAAUAACAACCAACUAGAAGCUUUUUGGUUUCU
Corylus avellana is the source of this 1579-nucleotide long non-coding RNA. RefSeq lists it as uncharacterized. NCBI's taxonomy places the organism in Eukaryota, Viridiplantae, Streptophyta, Magnoliopsida, Fagales, Betulaceae. The record is from RefSeq and is a predicted model, not a curated record.